This 230-nucleotide ribosomal RNA is filed under the name uncultured bacterium. Its description in RNAcentral is "partial 16S ribosomal RNA". It matches the Rfam family "Bacterial small subunit ribosomal RNA", at positions 111 to 334 of the family's 1533-position model. The record is from RNAcentral.
UAACACGUGGGUAACCUGCCCAUCAGAGGGGGAUAACAUUCGGAAACGGAUGCUAAAACCGCAUAGGUCUUCGAACCGCAUGGUUUGAAGAGGAAAAGAGGCGCAAGCUUCCGCUGAUGGAUGGACCCGCGGUGCAUUAGCUAGUUGGUGAGGUAACGGCUCACCAAGGCCGUGAUGCAUAGCCGACCUGAGAGGGUGAUCGGCCACAUUGGGACUGAGACACGGCCCAA